GAUUGCGAUCAUACCAGCACUAAUGCACCGGAUCCCAUCAGAACUCCGCAGUUAAGCGUGCUUGGGCGAGAGUAGUUCUAGGAUGGGUGACCCCCUGGGAAGUCCUCGUGUUGCAACCC
This 119-nucleotide ribosomal RNA is filed under the name Helianthus annuus (common sunflower). The record is from RNAcentral. Lineage: Eukaryota; Viridiplantae; Streptophyta; Magnoliopsida; Asterales; Asteraceae.